AACGAACGCUGGCGGCAUGCCUAACACAUGCAAGUAGAACGAAGGCUUCGGCCUUAGUGGCGCACGGGUGCGUAACGCGUGGGAAUCUGCCCUUGGGUUCGGAAUAACGGAGAGAAAUCUCCGCUAAUACCGGUUGAUGUCGCGAGACCAAAGAUUUAUCGCCUGAGGAUGAGCCCGCGUUGGAUUAGCUUGUCGGUGGGGUAAAGGCCUACCAAGGCGAUGAUCCAUUGCUGGUCUGCGAGGAUGAACAGCCACACUGGGACUUCGACACGGCCCAGACUCCUGCUAGAGGCAUCUGUGGUGAAUAUUGGAUUAUGUGCGCUGGCUUGAUCAAUCAAAAACGCGUGAGUUAUGAAGGCCUUAGGUUUGUAAAGCUCUUUUACCCGUGUUGAUAAUAACAGUACCGGGAGAAUAAGCUCCGGCUAUCUCCGUGCCAGCAGCCGCAGUAA
RNAcentral lists this ribosomal RNA (449 nucleotides) under uncultured bacterium. Its description in RNAcentral is "partial 16S ribosomal RNA". It matches the Rfam family "Bacterial small subunit ribosomal RNA", at positions 29 to 523 of the family's 1533-position model. The record is from RNAcentral.